AGGGUUUGAUCAUGGCUCAGAACGUACGCUGGCGGCACGCCUAACACAUGCAAGUCGAACGAAGUAGCAAUACUUAGUGGCAGACGGGUGAGUAACAUGUAGGUAUCUACCCUUUGGCCUGGAAUAACACGAGGAAACUUGUGCUAAUACCGGAUAAGUCUUUACGGAGAAAGCUUUAUGCACCAUUGGAUGAGCCUGCACUUGAUUAGUUCGUUGGUGGGGUAAUGGCCUACCAAGACUGUGAUCAAUAGCUGAUUUGAGAGGAUGAUCAGCCACAUUGGGACUGAGACACGGCCCAAACUCCUACGGGAGGCAGCAGUGGGGAAUCUUGCACAAUGGAGGAAACUCUGAUGCAGCGAUGCCGCGUGAGUGAAGAAGGCCCUUGGGUUGUAAAGCUCUUUCGUCGGGGAAGAAAAUGACUGUACCCGAAUAAGAAGGUCCGGCUAACUUCGUGCCAGCAGCCGCGGUAAUACGAAGGGACCUAGCGUAGUUCGGAAUUACUGGGCUUAAAGAGUUCGUAGGUGGUUGAAAAAGUUAGUGGUGAAAUCCCAGAGCUUAACUCUGGAACUGCCAUUAAAACUUUUCAGCUAGAGUAUGAUAGAGGAAAGCAGAAUUUCUAGUGUAGAGGUGAAAUUCGUAGAUAUUAGAAAGAAUACCAAUUGCGAAGGCAGCUUUCUGGAUCAUUACUGACACUGAGGAACGAAAGCAUGGGUAGCGAAGAGGAUUAGAUACCCUCGUAGUCCAUGCCGUAAACGAUGUGUGUUAGACGUUGGAAAUUUAUUUUCAGUGUCGCAGCGAAAGCGAUAAACACACCGCCUGGGGAGUACGACCGCAAGGUUAAAACUCAAAUGAAUUGACGGGGACCCGCACAAGUAGUGGAGCAUGUGGUUUAAUUCGAAGAUACGCGCAGAACCUUACCAACACUUGACAUGUUCGUCGCGACUCUAAGAGAUUAGAGUUUUCGGUUCGGCCGGACGAAACACAGGUGCUGCAUGGCUGUCGUCAGCUCGUGUCGUGAGAUGUUGGGUUAAGUCCCGCAACGAGCGCAACCCUCACUUUUAGUUGCCAUCAUUAAGUUGGGCACUCUGAAAGAACUGCCAGUGAUAAGCUGGAGGAAGGUGGGGAUGACGUCAAGUCCUCAUGGCCCUUACGUGUUGGGCUACACACGUGCUACAAUGGUAUCUACAACAGGAAGCAAGACUGCGAGGUCAAGCAAAUCCUCAAAAGAUACCUCAGUUCGGAUUGCACUCUGCAACUCGAGUGCAUGAAGCUGGAAUUACUAGUAAUCGUGGAUCAGCGUGCCACGGUGAAUGCGUUCCCGGGUCUUGUACACACCGCCCGUCACACCAUGGGAGUUGGUUCUACCUUAAGGC
Molecule: ribosomal RNA, 1373 nt
Filed under: uncultured bacterium
Lineage: Bacteria
Description: bacterial SSU rRNA
Rfam family: Bacterial small subunit ribosomal RNA
Source: RNAcentral